UUGAACGCUGGCGGAAUGCUUUACACAUGCAAGUCGAGCGGCAGCGCGGGGCAACCUGGCGGCGAGCGGCGGACGGGUGAGUAAUACAUCGGAACGUACCCAGUCGUGGGGGAUAACCUACCGAAAGGUAGGCUAAUACCGCAUACGACCUGAGGGUGAAAGCGGGGGAUCGCAAGACCUCGCGCGAUUGGAGCGGCCGAUAUCGGAUUAGCUAGUUGGUGAGGUAAAGGCUCACCAAGGCGACGAUCCGUAGCGGGUCUGAGAGGACGACCCGCCACACUGGAACUGAGACACGGUCCAGACUCCUACGGGAGGCAGCAGUGGGGAAUUUUGGACAAUGGGGGAAACCCUGAUCCAGCCAUUCCGCGUGAGUGAAGAAGGCCUUCGGGUUGUAAAGCUCUUUCAGCAGGAACGAAACGGUCGGCUUUAAUAAAGUCGGCUAAUGACGGUACCUGCAGAAGAAGCACCGGCUAACUACGU
RNAcentral lists this ribosomal RNA (480 nucleotides) under uncultured bacterium. RNAcentral describes it as "bacterial SSU rRNA". It matches the Rfam family "Bacterial small subunit ribosomal RNA", at positions 29 to 506 of the family's 1533-position model. The record is from RNAcentral.